This is a long non-coding RNA of Papaver somniferum (opium poppy), 1563 nucleotides long. RefSeq lists it as uncharacterized. NCBI's taxonomy places the organism in Eukaryota, Viridiplantae, Streptophyta, Magnoliopsida, Ranunculales, Papaveraceae. The transcript has 3 exons. The record is from RefSeq and is a predicted model, not a curated record.
UAGGUUUUCCUGUACAGGUCGUCCCCCAUGAGCUGAUAUCUCGCAGACAGAGUUGUAGUCCUUCGUGCUUCCAGUGGAUCAUGUGGAAGUACUUUGUAAUUCAAAUAUUUGAAGAUUUUUUUCAUCCAGGAACCCUCAAUUUCUGAUUGUGUCAUAUUCGAGCUCUAGAUUUGCUUUUCUUCAAUUCGAGCUUACAGAUUGCUGGUCUAUCAAGAACUCAAACACUAAAUGUUCUUUUACAAGCUCCUGGUAUUGCAGAUCCCAGUAAAGCUAGUCAAUCUGCGUGCCUUACUUUGUUUCUGGCUACCUUCCUGAUGCUGACCUUGUCAAAACUCUCAAGUAGCUUGUUUAUGAGGUUUCUGUAUUGCAUAUUCGUGGUAUUUCUUGAUUCAAAAUGUCCUCCCACUUGCUUUGAAUUUAACCAAGAGUCAGUAUAGAGGAUAAACUCUUUGAGAUUUAGACUUUUAGCAUCUAGGAUUCCUUGCAGCAUUGCUUAGUACUCAACUUAAUUAUUGAUUGGGUUGAAGGCUAGGACGUAAGCUAUUUUCUGAUGUAAUUAUGACAACUCCAUAUCCUCCACCCUGUUCAUUUGAAGAUCCAUCCACAAAUAUUUUCCCAACUCCUAGGGUGUUCAUGGAAGAAUCAUCAACUAGGUGGUACCUCGGGCUCAGACAGUACUUCUAUUUGUCCCUCACAUAAUUUUAGAUCGAAGUUAGGAUCGUCAAUUGGGAAAUCAACUAAAAAAAUUUGUCACUGUUUGGCCUUUCACUACUUUCUGUGGUCGAGAACUAUGGUCUUAGUUUGACAAAGGAGAAGCAGAUAGCAAAAAUAACUUUCUCGAGUUGGGAGUACCUUGUUUAUGGUGGUGCCAGAGUUUUGCUGAGGAAAUAUAUUGGCUUCUCUUUGUUGUCUUCUACUCCAACCAGCAUUGCACUCGAAGUUGUUGAAGUGUUUGCAAUGUAGAGAUAUAAAUCUUCGUCUGGCAUUGGCAGAGAUAGUAUCAGCAGAUGAGAGGAAGCGGGAAGCCAUCCUUCGGGCAAGCUUUAUUCAAGUUGGCGAAAUCGAUGCAAACUCGGACUUUCCCAUUCUUUUUCAUGACAACUACGAUGUUAGAGAUCCAGACAGGGUAUUACCACUCCCUUAUUAGGUCUGCAUCUAACAUUCUUUCAACGUCUGCAUUUAUUGCAUCCUAUAGCUUACCUGCAUUUACUGCAUUGGUAAGUGCAUAAUUCACAUGAUUUUAGUGUCGAUUAUGUUAGAGCAUUGCUCGGUCGAACUGACAAGUGUUGAUAUCUCAAGCUUGUUGCCAAAUUUAGUUGAUCAAAACUAUAUAUUGAGUUCUAUUCUACAUUUAGUCAAGUCUCUGAUUAGAAUAGAAGUGUGUAGUUGAGUACCAGACAUCACUACGAUCUACCGUUUGAAGGCGAAGAUCAACCGAAGCUUUUGGGAAACUUCAUAAACAAAAGGCAAGUAAAGACUGAACCACAUAUUACUCAAGUUUUCACCUUUCUAUCUAUGAGACAACAUUGCAUGGCUAAAUUGGACUUUACAUGCAUAGCAGAA